Molecule: long non-coding RNA, 367 nt
Organism: Pocillopora verrucosa
Lineage: Eukaryota; Metazoa; Cnidaria; Anthozoa; Scleractinia; Pocilloporidae
Source: RefSeq, a predicted model, not a curated record
UUCACCACAAAACUACAUUGACUGUAUCAUUGCAUCUUGAAAAGACCGUUCUACAUUCAUUUCUUAAUCAUGAAAGGCAAGAUUUUCGCAGUGGUAUUUUGUCUGAUAUUUGCAGCCUGCUUGAUGUACCCAACUGAGGCAGUUUACCAUUUACAAAGACCGCAAGGACUAAGAUCUUUGGCGAUGAAAGAUUCUCGAAAGGAUAUUAGAAACAUAUGCGCGACCAUGAAUGAUGUUUGUAAAACUGAAAGAGAAGCCUUAACGCAAGGUUUCCAAGCUCAAACUACCGACUAAGGUCUUUCACAGAAGUGGAAAAUUGUAUUCAGAUGAAAACCUAAGUGCAAAUAAAAUAGAACUGUGACAUGAA